GACGAACGCUGGCGGCGUGCCUAAUACAUGCAAGUUGAGCGAUGAAGCUUGGUGCUUGCACCAAUUUGAAGAGCAGCGAACGGGUGAGUAACGCGUGGGGAAUCUGCCUUUGAGCGGGGGACAACAUUUGGAAACGAAUGCUAAUACCGCAUAACAACUUUAAACAUAAGUUUUAAGUUUGAAAGAUGCAAUUGCAUCACUCAAAGAUGAUCCCGCGUUGUAUUAGCUAGUUGGUGAGGUAAAGGCUCACCAAGGCGAUGAUACAUAGCCGACCUGAGAGGGUGAUCGACCACAUUGGGACUGAGACACGGCCCAAACUCCUACGGGAGGCAGCAGUAGGGAAUCUUCGGCAAUGGACGAAAGUCUGACCGAGCAACGCCGCGUGAGUGAAGAAGGUUUUCGGAUCGUAAAACUCUGUUGGUAGAGAAGAACGUUGGUGAGAGUGGAAAGCUCAUCAAGUGACGGUAACUACCCAGAAAGGGACGGCUAACUACGUG
Molecule: ribosomal RNA, 497 nt
Filed under: uncultured bacterium
Lineage: Bacteria
Description: partial 16S ribosomal RNA
Rfam family: Bacterial small subunit ribosomal RNA
Source: RNAcentral